RNAcentral lists this long non-coding RNA (571 nucleotides) under Mytilus galloprovincialis (Mediterranean mussel). Lineage: Eukaryota; Metazoa; Mollusca; Bivalvia; Mytilida; Mytilidae. The record is from RNAcentral.
UUAUUGUGUUUAACAAUUUGGGCGAUGUGACCAUUCACUGUAUAUUACUGAUAAUGUUGUAUUGCAAAUAUUGUGCUUUAUGGAAUACUUGCAUAAGUGAGUAUUUGUAGUUUUUAAAACCAUUUCUAGCUUGCUUUUUGUAUUAAAGUAUAUAGAACUAUGAUUUCAUUAUAGUAGAUUAAGACAUUUUUCUCCUACCCGUCCCUACUUUUUUAUGCUUUCUCUUCACUACCCGUUUUUACAAUGAAAUCUGAAUGAAGUAUAACAAUGUUAUAUAAUGGUUAUGGAAGAUCAAGGUGGAAUUACACAGUAGUGAUGCUAACAUCAUAAACAGUGGUUAUAGGAACUAAACUGUAAAAAACACAAUAAAAGUUUGCAUUUUCUAUGAACAUGUAUCAACCAGAUAACAAUGAUUACAGUUGCCAAUUUUCGAAAUGAAACAAAGAUCAUGGGGACAAGCUUUUACAAAUUCAGUUGUUUUUUCUACUCAAGUCACAAAUCGUUUACAGUCUAUUGGGUGGUGGUAUCUCUCAGUUGUAUUGUAGUUUGUGUCACAGAAAUCACCUAAAAA